Gasterosteus aculeatus aculeatus (three-spined stickleback) is the source of this 1164-nucleotide long non-coding RNA. Lineage: Eukaryota; Metazoa; Chordata; Actinopteri; Perciformes; Gasterosteidae. The record is from Ensembl.
UCAUGAACAAACCGCAUUGGCAAGAAGAUUGGCAUCCUCCACUCUGCAUCUUAUGUUGACACAAGGGUUGGUUUUGGGGGCUAUUGGCGACACCGAGACACCGGAUCCCUGUUUUUUUUCUAACGAUCCAUUGACUUGACUUUCCGGACACGUGUUGACUUCUCACGCAUGGUUCUGUUUCCUCUGAGUGUAUUCAGUAAACGUGUGAAGCUUUGGAGACCCAGACUGACCACCCCGCUGGCCUUCAGCAUCAGCAGCUAACACCCCCCCCCCCCCCACACUUGUGCCUCCUCAUCAGGGAUUCUGAUAGAAACAGAAGACGGAGACACACAGAUGCAAACACAUAGCACCCACCAAGCACACAAACACAGUUUGAUUAUAAUUGGGUGACCCACAGCCACUGAUAUCAUCUGUUAUGGUGUGAGACCACCAUCUCACCCGGAGCGGCCCUCCGCCUCCGACGAAGACUUGAGGAGCGAAGGAAGGGUAAAGAAAAGACAAAUAGAAGACAAACUGGCCUGGGAAGGAAGGAGAAGAGCAGGAAGAGCACAACAACGACAAAAAAAAGGACACAAAGUGGCGCCGAGUUCAUUAAUUAGAAUUUCAAAUUGGACAAACUCAAGAUGACAGCGUUGCGCUUGUCAAAUCAGAUCAUGCCCCGGCGGGGUGAGAGAGAGGGAAGAGAGGGAAGGAGGCACACUGCUCAGAGCCAAACACCACUCUUAGUAGCUGAAUGGGUGCCAUCUCUCUCUCUCUCUCUCUCUCUCUCUCCCUCUUCGUCUCUCUCUCCUCCCCUCUCCGUCUUUCUCUCCAUUUCCUCUGAUUACGCCGACCGCCCUUCCCUCUGUCCCCCGCGUGAAUGUCAAGGCCGCCUUAACAAGAAGUGACAAUUAAAACAUCAUCGGCGUCCUCUGGCUCAAUGGGAGCGGCGUGUCGGGGUCCCUGCUUCCUGGGGGGGGAGAGAAAGAAUAAAAGUGAUGGAGGAGCUGGAGGGAAGAAUACUACGAGCUGGGAGGAAAGGAGGGAGAUGUAUCAUUUGGCAAAUAUGUAGCCUACCGGACAAUUGGGCUAAUAAAGAUUGAUAAAUUGAACUGGUGUACAUUUAUAUAUGUUUGGAUGUGCAUGUAUGAGAGAUGGAACAAAGAAAACAACCAUGUAAGACAC